This 482-nucleotide unclassified non-coding RNA is filed under the name uncultured Glomus. RNAcentral describes it as "SSU rRNA". It matches the Rfam family "Eukaryotic small subunit ribosomal RNA", at positions 569 to 1058 of the family's 1831-position model. Lineage: Eukaryota; Fungi; Glomeromycota; Glomeromycetes; Glomerales; Glomeraceae. The record is from RNAcentral.
AGCAGCCGCGGUAAUUCCAGCUCCAAUAGCGUAUAUUAAAGUUGUUGCAGUUAAAAGCUCGUAGUUGAAUUUCGAGACCGGUUUACUGGUCGUGCUUUUGUACGUACUGGUAUUAUUGGUUUCUCCUUUAUGUCGAAUCUUAAUGCCAUUAAUUUGGUGUUUUGGGGAAUCAGGACUGUUACUUUGAAAAAUUAGAGUGUUUAAAGCAGGCUCACGCUUGAAUACAUUAGCAUGGAAUAACGGAAUAGGACGUUUGAUUCUAUUUUGUUGGUUUCUAGGAUCGACGUAAUGAUUAAUAGGGAUAGUUGGGGGCAUUAGUAUUCAAUUGUCAGAGGUGAAAUUCUUGGAUUUAUUGAAGACUAACUACUGCGAAAGCAUUUGCCAAGGAUGUUUUCAUUAAUCAAGAACGAAAGUUAGGGGAUCGAAGACGAUCAGAUACCGUCGUAGUCUUAACCAUAAACUAUGCCGACUAAGGAUCGGAU